This 508-nucleotide ribosomal RNA is filed under the name uncultured bacterium. RNAcentral describes it as "partial 16S ribosomal RNA". It matches the Rfam family "Bacterial small subunit ribosomal RNA", at positions 28 to 523 of the family's 1533-position model. The record is from RNAcentral.
GAUGAACGCUAGCUACAGGCUUAACACAUGCAAGUCGAGGGGAAACGACAUCGAAAGCUUGCUUUUGAUGGGCGUCGACCGGCGCACGGGUGAGUAACGCGUAUCCAACCUGCCCACCACUUGGGGAUAACCUUGCGAAAGUAAGACUAAUACCCAAUGAUAUCUCUAGAAGACAUCUGAAAGAGAUUAAAGAUUUAUCGGUGAUGGAUGGGGAUGCGUCUGAUUAGCUUGUUGGCGGGGUAACGGCCCAACAAUGCUACGAUCAGUAGGGGUUCUGAGAGGAAGGUCCCCCACAUUGGAACUGAGACACGGUCCAAACUCCUACGGGAGGCAGCAGUGAGGAAUAUUGGUCAAUGGACGAGAGUCUGAACCAGCCAAGUAGCGUGCAGGAUGACGGCCCUAUGGGUUGUAAACUGCUUUUAUAAGGGAAUAAAGUGAGUCUCGUGAGACUUUUUGCAUGUACCUUAUGAAUAAGGACCGGCUAAUUCCGUGCCAGCAGCCGCCGUAA